RNAcentral lists this ribosomal RNA (253 nucleotides) under uncultured bacterium. RNAcentral's name for it is "partial 16S ribosomal RNA". It matches the Rfam family "Bacterial small subunit ribosomal RNA", at positions 524 to 776 of the family's 1533-position model. The record is from RNAcentral.
UACGGGGGGGGCAAGCGUUGUUCGGAAUUACUGGGCGUAAAGCGCACGCAGGUGGCUGAGUCAGUCGAUUGUGAAAGCCCUGGGCUUAACCUGGGAAUUGCAGUCGAUACUACUUAGCUAGAGUAUGGGAGAGGGCAGUGGAAUUCCCGGUGUAGCGGUGAAAUGCGUAGAUAUCGGGAGGAACAUCAGUGGCGAAGGCGGCUGCCUGGCCCAAUACUGACACUCAGGUGCGACAGCGUGGGGAGCAAACAGG